CCUUUCUCAAAAUUUGUUCUCUUGCAAAAGACCUAUCUUAUCAUAAUUUCAAUACAAAUUAAGAGACUUACAUCCCAAGAAAAAGGAAAAUCAAGAUGAUGAGUGCAGCAACAGCAAGUAGGGCUUGGGUUGUGGCAGCCACAGUUGGAGUUGUGGAAGUGUUGAAAGACCAAGGGGUGUGCAGAUGGAACUAUCCCAUGAGACUGGUGCACCAGCAAGCCAAGAACCAUCUCAGGUCUUUUUCUCAGGCCAAGAAGCUGUCUUCUUCUUCUUCUGCCAUGGCUUCAAGCAUGAUCAUGAGAGAAGAGAAAAUAAAGCAGUCAGAGGAGUCUAUGAGGAAAGUGAUGUAUCUUAACUCUUGGGGUCCCAACUGACACCAACCAAAUUAAGCUUAGCUUAGCUUAAGGCCAUUGUAAAUUACUUUAAGGCAAAUGCUCUUACAAAUUUAGUAAAAUACAUUGGGCACAUAUGUUUUCCAAAUUCAGUUUUUCUUCUUGCUUGACUAAAGUGUUAAAUUUGGCACAGCAUCUUGGCCUUGGCCUAAUCCGAUCAUAAGAACAACACGACUAAAUUAUUCACCCAAUGGAAAACUGAAACAAACUUUUCCCCAAAAAUUCUGGGCUGAAAAGAACAAAAUAGCCGCUGGUAUGGCCAAAAACCACAACCCAAGUGAAACCACCUCCACUCUCAUCACCCCCUUAGCUCUCUCUCUCUCUCUCUCUCUCUGCAUAUUUAUGGCUUCAGUUAGAUAGUCUCGAUGCUUAUAUAUGUCUAUCUCAAUACUCUCUCCAACUUACUGUAACAAAUUCUACCUUGUUCUUUAAAUUACUGGUAGUGGCCAUCAUUCAAAAGUUAAAAAAUGAGGUGGAAGAGCAAGGCUUGGGUUGUUUUGGGCACUGUUACAGCUGUGGAGGAGUUGAAAGAAAAGAAUCUAAGCAAAUGGAGAUCCCUGCAGAGCUACCAACAUGCACUAAUUAACAACAUUGUGCCACUGUCUACACAAGUGGGAAAAUCUUCUUCAUCUACAACUUCAACAAUGGAGUCAAAGAAGAAAUAUUGCAAGCAGGGGACUCUGAAUCUGAAGCAAUCAGAAGAACCACUUAGACUAAUUAUGUACUUGAGCUGUUGGGGACCCAACUGAGCUGGAAAGAUAUGCUGCAUGCCCCUCCAUGUUUAUGAAAUCAUUACUAAGCAUUAUGUAUGUUUGUGUGUGUAUUUCAAGAUGUACACAUCCUGAUCUAUAAUCUUAUUAUCAUCAUAUGUUUGUAAGAACUUGUUCUAAAAAAAGAGGAAAUAAAAAC
RNAcentral lists this long non-coding RNA (1301 nucleotides) under Prunus dulcis (almond). RNAcentral describes it as "sRNA ncRNA". The record is from RNAcentral. Lineage: Eukaryota; Viridiplantae; Streptophyta; Magnoliopsida; Rosales; Rosaceae.